RNAcentral lists this ribosomal RNA (253 nucleotides) under uncultured bacterium. Its description in RNAcentral is "partial 16S ribosomal RNA". It matches the Rfam family "Bacterial small subunit ribosomal RNA", at positions 524 to 776 of the family's 1533-position model. The record is from RNAcentral.
UACGUAGGGUGCGAGCAUUAAUCGGAUUUAUUGGGCGUAAAGGGCGCGUAGGCGGGAUAUUAAGUCAGAUGUGAAAGCCCGGGGCUCAACCCCGGAACUGCAUUUGAAACUGAUAUUCUAGAGGGUAGGCGGAGAAAAUGGAAUUCCACAAGUAGCGGUGAAAUGCGUAGAUAUGUGGAAGAACACCAGUGGCGAAGGCGGUUUUCUAGCUUAUACCUGACGCUGAGGCGCGAAAGCAAGGGGAGCAAACAGG